This 664-nucleotide long non-coding RNA is filed under the name Monodelphis domestica (gray short-tailed opossum). Its description in RNAcentral is "lncRNA (ENSMODG00000039305.1)". The record is from RNAcentral. Lineage: Eukaryota; Metazoa; Chordata; Mammalia; Didelphimorphia; Didelphidae.
UCAUCAUUGAUUCAUUAUUCAUUACCAAAGUUGGAAGUGGAGUGAGUUUCCAUGGAGAUUAUGAGGGAUUAUUCAGGAGGACAUCAAGUAUUCCUUGGACUCAUCAAGAACAAGAUCUUCUGGCUUCCAGAACUGAAAUGAUGGAAUGUUGAGAAAAAAUUGAAAGUUAGAAAGCUAGAUGUGACUAGUUUUGCCAUCAUCUUGACGGUCUGGGUCAGAGGAAAAAUCAAGAAUGAAAAGCAUCUUUCUGCAUGACAGUUGGCUUUAAAUCUGACAGCUUCCCUCUUUCAGUUUCAGAUGCCUGAUUUCCUACUCAAAAUGAGGUCGUGGACAGCCUAGACCUACGAUGGGGUCUGAGGAUCUUCUCCUGGAAGUCCCAUGAACUACAUAGUGGCGGUUCCCCUGGCCAGAGAAUUCAUCUCCAAGUGGCCAAUCCAAAUUCUCUAUUCCUAUUCACCAAUGUCAGGAGAUCCACAGGAAUGCUUCCUCAGAAUUGCACUGGUCUCCUCUGGAUUACACCUGUUUAACAUCUUGCAGUGGGCAUCAUGCUACCUGUUAACACAGCUCAAUGCUCAUGAAGCAGCUUCAAAUAUCAUUUGGAAAUGUUUAACAAAAUAAACAGAAAUGCAAUAAAACAUAUGUAGUUUAAUUUGUUAUUUUUUAA